RNAcentral lists this ribosomal RNA (507 nucleotides) under uncultured bacterium. RNAcentral describes it as "partial 16S ribosomal RNA". It matches the Rfam family "Bacterial small subunit ribosomal RNA", at positions 28 to 507 of the family's 1533-position model. The record is from RNAcentral.
GACGAACGCUGGCGGCGUGCCUAAUACAUGCAAGUCGAACGCAUUUUCUUUCACCGUAGCUUGCUACACCGAAAGAAAAUGAGUGGCGAACGGGUGAGUAACACGUGGGUAACCUGCCCAUCAGCGGGGGAUAACACUUGGAAACAGGUGCUAAUACCGCAUAAUUCCAUUUACUGCAUGGUAGAUGGAUGAAAGGCGCUUUUGCGUCACUGAUGGAUGGACCCGCGGUGCAUUAGCUAGUUGGUGGGGUAACGGCCUACCAAGGCUGCGAUGCAUAGCCGACCUGAGAGGGUGAUCGGCCACACUGGGACUGAGACACGGCCCAGACUCCUACGGGAGGCAGCAGUAGGGAAUCUUCGGCAAUGGACGCAAGUCUGACCGAGCAACGCCGCGUGAGUGAAGAAGGUUUUCGGAUCGUAAAACUCUGUUGUUAGAAAAGAACAAGGAUGAGAGUGGAAAGUUCAUCCCUUGACGGCAUCUAACCAGAAAGCCACGGCUAACUACGUG